RNAcentral lists this ribosomal RNA (380 nucleotides) under uncultured eukaryote. RNAcentral describes it as "partial 18S ribosomal RNA". It matches the Rfam family "Eukaryotic small subunit ribosomal RNA", at positions 592 to 976 of the family's 1831-position model. The record is from RNAcentral.
CAAUAGCGUAUAUUAAAGUUGUUGCAGUUAAAAAGCUCGUAGUUGGAUUUGUGGCGUACGGUGUGUUCCGGGCACUUGUUGUCUGAGUAACCUGCUGUUGCCAUCCUUGGGUGGAACCUGUGUGGCAUUAGGUUGUCGUGCAGGGGAUGCCCAUCAUUUACUGUGAAAAAAUUAGAGUGUUCAAAGCAGGCUUAUGCCGUUGAAUAUAUUAGCAUGGAAUAGUGAGAUAGGACUUUUUUGCUAUUUUGUUGGUUUGCGCAAAGAGGUAAUGAUUAAUAGGGACAGUUGGGGGUAUUCGUAUUCCAUUGUCAGAGGUGAAAUUCUUGGAUUUUUGGAAGACGAACUACUGCGAAAGCAUUUACCAAGGAUGUUUUCAUUAA